GAUGAAGAACGUAGCGAAAUGCGAUACGUAAUGUGAAUUGCAGAAUUCAGUGAAUCAUCGAGUCUUUGAACGCACAUUGCGCCCCCUGGUAUUCCGGGGGGCAUGCCUGUCCGAGCGUCAUUGCUGCCCUCAAGCACGGCUUGUGUGUUGGGCCUCCGUCCUCCUCCCGGGGGACGGGCCCGAAAGGCAGCGGCGGCACCGCGUCCGGUCCUCGAGCGUAUGGGGCUUCGUCACCCGCUCUUGUAGGCCCGGCCGGCGCUUGCCGACACAUCAAUCUUUUUUCAAGGUUGACCUCGGAUCAGGUAGGGAUACCCGCUGAACUUAAGCAUAUCAAUAAGCGGAGGA
This 345-nucleotide unclassified non-coding RNA is filed under the name soil metagenome. Its description in RNAcentral is "partial contains 5.8S ribosomal RNA, internal transcribed spacer 2, and large subunit ribosomal RNA". The stretch from base 1 to 120 matches the Rfam family "5.8S ribosomal RNA", at positions 35 to 154 of the family's 154-position model. The record is from RNAcentral.